CACGAUGUGAUCCACCAGCCAGGAGGGACGCCAACAAGGCAUCCGAUAAGAUAAAUCUUAUAUAAAAUAUAGAUUUAUGAUAAUUAAGACUAAGCUAACAGAUGAGGAAUCCUAGUCAUUGGCCAAGCAUCAUUGAACCUAAUACAAGUUUCUGUGUAUUCAUUUGGGCCUAACUUGAGCAGGCAGCUGGCGUAAAGCACACACGUGGUGGUGGGGCUCAGGCAGUUUAUGGUGGAAAGAUUUAUCUUGAGCCUUCCUCAGACCAACAUCAACCCUGCUGGAGCAACUCCUUGAGCAGGGAAACAGAAGAGGAGUGGAUCCAGGGAGAGGAGAUGUCUGUGAAGAAUUGUGCGGGGAUUUUGAUGGUGCUGGCAUAACUGGUUGCAGACAUGUAGAAGACUGCAGCUAGACCCAAGCCUA
Molecule: long non-coding RNA, 420 nt
Filed under: Cricetulus griseus (Chinese hamster)
Lineage: Eukaryota; Metazoa; Chordata; Mammalia; Rodentia; Cricetidae
Description: lncRNA (ENSCGRG00015037098.1)
Source: RNAcentral